GUAAUACAUAGGGGCGAGCGUUAUCCGGAAUUAUUGGGCGUAAAGGGUGCGUAGGCGGUUUAAUAAGUCUCUAGUUUAAUUUCAACGCUUAACGUUGUCCUGCUAGAGAAACUGUUUGACUAGAGUGAGAUAGAGGUAAGCGGAAUUCCAUGUGUAGCGGUAAAAUGUGUAAAUAUAUGGAGGAACACCAGGGGCGUAGGCGGCUUACUGGGUCUUUACUGACGCUGAUGCACGAAAGCGUGGGGAGCAAACAGGAUUAGAUACCCUGGUAGUCCACGCCGUAAACUAUGAGUACUAAGUGUCGGGGUUAAACUCGGUACUGAAGUUAACACAUUAAGUACUCCGCCUGAGUAGUACGUACGCAAGUAUGAAACUUAAAGGAAUUGACGGGAUCCCGCACAAGCGGUGGAUCAUGUUGUUUAAUUCGAAGAUACACGAAAAACCUUACCAGGUCUUGACAUACUCUGCAAAACUAUAGAAAUAUAGUGGAGGUUAUCAGGGAUACAGGUGGUGCAUGGUUGUCGUCAGCUCGUGUCGUGAGAUGUUAGGUUAAGUUCUAAAACGAGCGCAACCCCUGUCGUUAAUUGCCAGCACGUUAUGGUGGGGACUUUAGCGAGACUGCCAAUGAAAAAUUGGAGGAAGGUGGGGAUUACGUCAAAUCAUCAUGCCCCUUAUGAUCUGGGCUACAAACGUGAUACAAUGGCUAUUACAAAGAGUAGCUGAAACGCGAGUUUUUGGCAAAUCUCAAAAAAAUAGUCCUAGUUCGGAUUGAAGUCUGCAACUCGACUUCAUGAAGUUGGAAUCGCUAGUAAUCGCGAAUCAGCAUGUCGCGGUGAAUACGUUCUCGGGGUUUGUACACACCGCCCGUCAAACCACGAAAGUGGACAAUACCCGAAAGCGAUAGCCUAACUGCGCAAGCAGAGGGAAUCGUCUAAGGUAGGGUCGAUGAUUGGGGUUAAG
Molecule: ribosomal RNA, 960 nt
Filed under: 'Sabal palmetto' lethal yellowing phytoplasma
Lineage: Bacteria; Bacillati; Mycoplasmatota; Mollicutes; Acholeplasmatales; Acholeplasmataceae
Description: bacterial SSU rRNA
Rfam family: Bacterial small subunit ribosomal RNA
Source: RNAcentral